This is a non-coding RNA of Camellia sinensis, 1304 nucleotides long. Lineage: Eukaryota; Viridiplantae; Streptophyta; Magnoliopsida; Ericales; Theaceae. The record is from RefSeq and is a predicted model, not a curated record.
AUUGUUGUUUGUUGUAGAUAGGAGAGAUGAUUUAUCAAGGGUUGAUUCGGACAAGUUCAAUUCGAUUAUCAAUGAACGAUUCUGGUAAUUAACUUUCCUCUUGACAAUAGUGCUUUCUUUAAUUUGGUUUUCAGUACAGAAACCUAGAGAACAAGCUGCAGAUGCUGAAGCUCUAUUGAACAUCACAAACACGUUGGUUACAUCUGUUAAAGCACACAGUCAAGAAGGAAUUACCCCUUUUAGACUUUGUAAACUGUCUGCUUAGAGAUUUUGGGCGACAAGGUCGGGCAAGUACCAGUGCAGAGGAUGGUCUUGAGGAUGGCAAUAUCCCAUUUGGUUCAGUGGAAGCUAGUGGCCGGUCAACGGUGAACCUUGAAAGAUCUUAGAUCAUGAUGGUGACCCGCUUGCCAUUACCACAGCUGAUGCAGUUGCAGCCAGUGGAGUACCCCCUUGGAACUGGAGAGAAACCCCUGGAAAUGAAAAAGGGCAAGAAAAAGGUUUCCAAAGAAUCUCAUGUGUUCGGAAGCUCUUGAUAAGCUUAGAGAGCAGACUAGGGAGGCUGUCAGGGGACUCGAGCCUGUCACGGGCUCGAAACCCCUUGCAGACGAUUUCGGAAAGGAUCCAAUGAUGGAGGAUUGGGUCAAGUAGUUUGAGGAGCUUGGUGGGUCUCAGGUAUUUGCUUCAAUUUCAUGAAAUUAGGGUUUAGGGUUUCGUUUAUUUCUUUGGUUUUUGCAGUUAUUUGUUUGAUUAGGAUUUAUUUAUGUGUUGUGGUAACAGUAGAAUUGUGAAUUCACUAUGUGCUUUUGGGAUUUGAUUGAGUUGAUAAUUAAGCUUUUGCUCAACAAUCAUUUUCCAAUUGGAUUAGCACAGUGUUACCAGAAAACACUAACCCUGGCGAUUCAUAUUUUGGAAUGGGUGCAUUGAAGUAUUUUAAAUUCUAGUAGUGUAAUCUAAAUAAGUGUAAUGAAGUUUGACUAGCUACUAGAUUAGCUGAUGUGAAAUAGAGUUGUCAGGUCAUCCAUAACACUGUAGUCAAAACAAACAAGAAUUCAUUUUGAUUGAAUCAGUUAGUUUUGUGUAAUGAAGUUUGAUAAUAGAAGGGAACGUUGACCUUACUAUGACUUUCCCUUUGAAAAUAUUUUUUGGUAAUCUGAUAACUGCAAGGUCUGAGGUUCUACUUUUGGCAACAAGAUGGUAAAAUUGUUCAUGCUUUUAUUUUUUAUCCAUUUGCCUAUUCAUGUUUUUAUCUGAAGGCAAAUUUGUUUUUGUAUUUUCUAACACUUGGUGAACUGUUAAUUAAACGU